CCCACGGGUGGCAGCAGUGGGGAAUAUUGGACAAUGGGCGAAAGCCUGAUCCAGCCAUGCCGCGUGUGUGAAGAAGGCCUUCGGGUUGUAAAGCACUUUCAGUGGGGAAGAAAGCCUUGGGGCUAAUACCCUCGAGGAAGGACAUCACCCACAGAAGAAGCACCGGCUAACUCCGUGCCAGCAGCCGCGGUAAUACGGAGGGUGCGAGCGUUAAUCGGAAUUACUGGGCGUAAAGCGCGCGUAGGCGGUCUGAUAAGCCGGUUGUGAAAGCCCCGGGCUCAACCUGGGAACGGCAUCCGGAACUGUCAGGCUAGAGUGCAGGAGAGGAAGGUAGAAUUCCCGGUGUAGCGGUGAAAUGCGUAGAGAUCGGGAGGAAUACCAGUGGCGAAGGCGGCCUUCUGGACUGACACUGACGCUGAGGUGCGAAAGCGUGGGUAGCAAACAGGAUUAGAUACCCCAGUAGUC
This 465-nucleotide ribosomal RNA is filed under the name Vreelandella stevensii. RNAcentral's name for it is "partial 16S ribosomal RNA". It matches the Rfam family "Bacterial small subunit ribosomal RNA", at positions 338 to 795 of the family's 1533-position model. The record is from RNAcentral. Lineage: Bacteria; Pseudomonadati; Pseudomonadota; Gammaproteobacteria; Oceanospirillales; Halomonadaceae.